Molecule: ribosomal RNA, 469 nt
Filed under: uncultured bacterium
Lineage: Bacteria
Description: partial 16S ribosomal RNA
Rfam family: Bacterial small subunit ribosomal RNA
Source: RNAcentral
GACGAACGCUGGCGGCGUGCUUAACACAUGCAAGUCGAACGGAAAGGCCCUGCUUGCAGGGUGCUCGAGUGGCGAACGGGUGAGUAACACGUGGGUGAUCUGCCCCUUACUUUGGGAUAAGCCUGGGAAACUGGGUCUAAUACUGGAUAGGACCAUGCUGUAGGUGGUGUGGUGGAAAGAUUAGUUUCGGUAAGGGAUGAGCUCGCGGCCUAUCAGCUUGUUGGUGGGGUAAUGGCCUACCAAGGCGUCGACGGGUAGCCGGCCUGAGAGGGUGGACGGCCACAUUGGGACUGAGAUACGGCCCAGACUCCUACGGGAGGCAGCAGUGGGGAAUAUUGCACAAUGGGCGCAAGCCUGAUGCAGCGACGGCGCGUGGGGGAUGACGGCCUUCGGGUUGUAAACUCCUUUCAGCCAUGACGAAGCCCUUGUGGUGACGGUAGUGGUAGAAGAAGCACCGGCUAACUACGUG